UGGGGAAUAUUGGACAAUGGGGGCAACCCUGAUCCAGCAAUACCGCGUGUGUGAAGAAGGCCUUCGGGUUGUAAAGCACUUUAGGCGGGGAAGAAGGUUGGUAUUUUAAGAGAUAAUCAACUUGACGGUACCCGCAGAAUAAGCACCGGCUAACUCUGUGCCAGCAGCCGCGGUAAUACAGAGGGUGCAAGCGUUAAUCGGAUUUACUGGGCGUAAAGGGCGCGUAGGUGGUUAUGUAAGUGAGAUGUGAAAUCCCCGGGCUCAACCUGGGAACUGCAUCUUAUACUGCAUAGCUGGAGUGAAGUAGAGGGUAGUGGAAUUUCCGGUGUAGCGGUGAAAUGCGUAGAUAUCGGAAGGAACACCAGUGGCGAAGGCGGCUACCUGGACUUACACUGACACUGAGGCGCGAAAGCGUGGGUAGCAAACAGG
This 429-nucleotide ribosomal RNA is filed under the name uncultured bacterium. RNAcentral's name for it is "bacterial SSU rRNA". It matches the Rfam family "Bacterial small subunit ribosomal RNA", at positions 355 to 776 of the family's 1533-position model. The record is from RNAcentral.